UACUUUUUUUUAUUUCAGUGGUGUAGAGGCUAAACAGCCCAAUUCUGCCAUCAGGAAAUGUGUCAGAGUUCAGCUGAUCAAGAACGGCAAGAAAAUAACAGCCUUUGUUCCUAAUGACGGUUGCUUGAACUUCAUUGAGGAAAAUGAUGAAGUUCUAGUUGCUGGCUUUGGUCGGAAAGGUCACGCUGUUGGUGACAUUCCUGGUGUCCGCUUCAAGGUUGUCAAAGUAGCCAAUGUUUCUCUCUUAGCCUUGUACAAAGGCAAGAAAGAGAGACCACGAUCAUAAAUUCCUGUCAUGCCAUCUAGGCUACUAAUAAACUUCAGUUUGAUAAACGG
Molecule: long non-coding RNA, 336 nt
Organism: Terrapene triunguis (Three-toed box turtle)
Lineage: Eukaryota; Metazoa; Chordata; Testudines; Emydidae
Exons: 2
Source: RefSeq, a predicted model, not a curated record